GGCUCUUUCUUUUUUUUUCUUUUUCUUGCAGAUGAUCUGGCAUUUAGGUAAUGGCCACCUUCCAGGCAGCCCACCUGUCCACACCAACCUCUCUGGGAAAUCAGCUGCAGCCCCCCUGCUGCACUCUACAGGAUACACAAACUGGGCUCUAGCAGUCCAAGCCGAGAGAGUUCUCCAAGACCUCCCUGUACCACAGGCCUCUUGGGCAGGCCUGCCCGACCACAGGACCAUCAGGCUUUCAGCCAGAAAGUUACAGUAAAUCAGGCCCGCCUUCUUUCCAUGAGGUCCUGCUGUUCUCUGGGUUCAGGCCUCCUGUCUCAUAUAGGAGAAGGGGCAGCAGCGAGAGCUUCUUCCAGGCCCAGAGGUCCAAAUCCCACCCCCAGGCCAAGGUAGUCUUUCUAGGGGUUUUCAGAGGCUGCCCAGUCCUGUGACCUCCAGCUCACGCUACAAAGGGCAGAGAGGGCGCAGCUAGCGUCAGAAGGACAGGCUGCCUGCUCCCGCCAGGCGGCCUGCCCUUCAUGUUCUUGGACUUCAGCCCAGGAUCCCUGCAGGUUCUGACAUCAAGUUGGACCAUCCUUUUGAAUGAGGCGGGUUCAAGGUUGAAGCUGCCCAUCUUCUGGGGUCCCAGCAUUGUGAACACUGCGUGCCAGGAGAAGGGGAAGCAGGAUGCAGAAUUUCAGCAAAAACCAGCAGGAUACUGGGGCAGGUCAGUGAUGUGGGCUGUGGCCAGCGCCGCGCCGUUGCUCCCAGGUCGGCAACGUUAACAGGGGAAGGGAACCCGCGGGAGCGCGCACAGCCGACUGACCAGCGACCGAACCGCCAGCUGCGAAUUCCUCCGGCCUUCCAUCAGCGCGGCCCGACGACGGGCUUCCUCGCCGCGGUGAGGUCAGCGCCUCGCUCCCCCUCCCACCCCUCCUCCGGGCUGGCCCCGCGCCGGGGAUCCCGGCCCCCAAUAUCCGCUCACUGCGCCUCGAGCCCCCGGCUGAACCGUCCCCCAGCCUGUCCCUCCCCCAGCCCCGGGUCCACGCCCUGUCCAGGUCCCCGCGGCAGGGCCCUCCCCACCCGGAUGCCCCAGUCUGGUCCAGGCCUGCGCCUUGCAGCCCCCUCUCGGACCUUGCACUUGAGGCCCAGUCCGGUGCGGGAGCCCCAGAUGGGGCGGCCCCUCCCGCAGUCCGCCGCCCUCUGCCGGCCCCGCGGAGCCCUAUUUCGGGACCUGGCGCUGCGGGCCAGGCCAGGGCAGCCCUGCCCGGAAGAGAGGCUAUUCUGGGCCGGGCCGCGGAGCAGCUGCGACCCCAGGACUUCCCGGCAGGGUGCGUGCCCGGGAUAGAGGGCACGUUGGGGCAGGGCUCCCCUCCCUCCCCAGCACCCCACCUUCUUCCCAGGCCGCGCCCCGUUCCCUCCCCUUUUUGGCCGGGCCCUGGUCCUUCCCUAGUCCGGGAAGCAAGGGAAGCCACAUUCUCUGGUGCAGCGCCUGUCCGCCCUUGCUCCCUGCCUGUGUCCGAGGGACGCGGCUUCUGUGCCCACUGUCUCCUACCCGCGUGUCCCAUUUACCUGGACUUCCUAACUGUGACUCUCCUGUCCCCAUGGGUGACCCUCCACCCUAAUUCAGUGUUGAACCCCAUAUCCCAGGUGGACAUGGGUGUCUCCAUAAUGAUCAUUAAGUGAAAGUUGUCACAGGGUCACCUUUAGGGCGCCAAAUCCCAGCCCCUUAGGGGAUCUCAUUACCCCAUGUUCUGCAAAGGUCUGAUCAAAGGUUUCAGCUGCCCCUUGCGGGGAGUGACCACUUCUCUAGGUGGCCCCAGCUCUCUGGGCUCUCUGGGACACUGUCCUCCAUCUGUGAAGCAGGAUGCAGGUAAGUGCAGCGAGCCCCCCCCCAGAAAGUGCAAGGAGACAGAUCUGUGCCCCACCAUCAGAAUGCAAGUUACUGCCGGGAUCUAAACCAAAUCACUCUCCCUGGAGCCCAGGAUUUCCCAAAAGAGCUCGGAGGAGCAAAGCAAAGGCCCCUCUCUGCCCAUGGGUGGCCAGCUGUUCUGUAGCGUUCAUCUUCUCUCGGAGGGAUAGCAGGACCCAUCAGCUGGAUCUCAUUAAAAUGCAGAGGCAUCGUCUGGUCUGGGGCUGCCUUUGUGGCCUUGAUCUUGCUGGGCCCACACAGAGGAGCUGGAGGAAGGUUCCCCACCCCCACCCCUCAGUCCUGGGGCGGCUCUGCUGUUUGCUCUUCCAGGGAGGAAAUGGAGCAGAGAGGAAGAGGCUGGGAAAGUGCAGAGGGAUUGAACUCAUGACCUAGGGCUUGCCAGACAGGCGCUUAAACCACCGAGCUAAAUCCCCUGCCCCAAGAAAAUAAAUUCUAUACAAAUUAAAAAUGAAAGUUUUUUUUUUUGUAGUAUUGGGAAUUGAACUCAAAGCUUUUGUGCUGAGUUACUUUUUUUUUUUUUUUUUAAUUGGUUUGAAACAAAAUCUCAGUCACAAAAUUGCCCAGGCUGGGCUCAAGUAAAUUUAAAAUCUUCCUGCCCUGGCCUCCCAGAGUAGGAUUAUAAGCAUACACUGCCAUGGCCAGCAAUCUAAGCAAUUCUAUGGGUAAAAGCCAGCAUACACUUGUAAUGCCAGCUACUUGGGAGGCUGAGGCAGGAGGAUGGCAAGUACAGUUCAAGGCCAUCCUGGGCAAUUUAACAGUCUCAAAAUAAAAGAAGGCUGGGACAGUAGCUAGUUGUAGAGCAUUUGCCUAGAAUGCGUGAGGCUGCGGGUUCUGUCCUGCACACACACACCAGGACUGUAAAAAAAAAAAAAGCCUUGCCAGUCACCUGUACCUGGAUAGAAAUCUUAUAAAAGGAGCACAGCCUGCAGAGAAGAGAGAGCAGAGAGAGAAAAGUGUGGUUUACACGGGGCCCAGGAAGAGCCAGGAAACCACUUUCUCCCUGGGGCUUUUCAUCUGUCUUUCAGGGCAUGCUGGAGCAGGUGAGGGGAAACCCACACGCAUGUGCCAGCACCUGCCUUCCUAAAUAUGGAACAGCUGUCCUGGGCUUUGACUCAUUCGGCAGGGCACAGUGGUUUGCUUCCUGCUGGGGAGGGGAGGGGCGCCCUCACUCUUGAGUGGAAGUGGGAGCGCAGUCAAUGGGCGGUGAAUUACAGUGAAGUUACCAAGAGUACAGUCCUCUCAUCACAACUCGGUGGCUGAGGCCGUGAUUUUCAGGUGAACCAGAGCCGCAGCCCACACACACACACCCCAGCUGUGUCCCCUUUUCCUGCCAGACCAGUAUCUGCCUGGUCCUGGGGGCUGACAAUCCAGGGUGCAGCGGGGAAGCUGGGUGGUCACCACCGCUGGAGCCAGACAGGCUAGGUCCUUGUUGUCACUGGUCAGACCAAACUGCCACAGGGGGCCCAGGCGAACCUCGGGUUCACUGCCUGACAUUUGACAGAGUAGGGGAAGAGACGGAUGUCUUCUCCUUUCACCUGUUUCAAGCCUCCCCCUUUGCCGUACCCCCAAAUCUAUUUCCCAAUUCUGGGUCCUUAAGGAAACUUACAAGGGUGGCUUCCUUUCCAGAUGAGCAUUUUCCCAGAUGGGACUGGGUAAAAGUCAUCGGUCUCUUGUUUCUUCCAGGGAAGGACAGGGGCCCAUCCUGGAGAGGGACAAGGGUGCAGGGAGAGGGGAACUGGGAGAUCGCACCCACUCUCACUUCUGCUUUCCUGGGAAUACACACGGAGCUACCAGACUCCUACUUCGCAAUUUCCCCCACUGAGCCCACUGGGCCAUUUGCAUGUGUCUCGGUGAAAUUCCAGAUCAGUGUGGUCCCUCCUCCCAUGGUCCCCAGAGGGCCGCUGGAGCAUCUUUGGGGAACCAAGGGUGGGGAUUUGCUGCGUGGGACAGUGUUGACUACCCCAAACCUUCCCCUGGGUGAUUCAGUCUUAUUCAACGGAUGGACGGCGUCAGGCUGUUUUCCUAGAAUGUUGCAACAGGGGUACUAGGGUUUUUCCAGAGAUUUCCACUGUCCGUGACCCAACCCCAGGCCCCCCAACGGAACUCUUGGUGCCCCCAGUGGUGAGGCUGGCUGUUUGUUUGCCCUCGGGCAUCGUUAGAUAUUUCUCUAAACACUUUCUGAGGGUGGGCUCUGGGGGGGUGGGGGUCCAAGUGGGCACACAAUAGACUCUUGGCCUAUGUUUUUCUUUCUUGAUAUGCAUUUGUUUAAUGAAUGGAAUGGUUGGAAAUAGCAGGAAGGUAGCAGUUUUUAAUUUUCUUUCUUUCUUUCUUUCUUUCUUUCUUUCUUUCUUUCUUUCUUUCUGAGGUAGAGUCACACAAUGCAGUUCAAACUGGCCUCAAACUUACUGUAUUGCCCAGGCUGGCCUUGAACCCACAUCGAUUCUCCUGCCUCAGCUCCCACCUGCUGGGAUUAUAAGUGGGCACCAUCAUCCCUGCCUUAAGUUUUUCUUUAAGAACACAAAUCCUAUCCCAAGUCCUCCUCUCCUGUAUCCUUAUGUUUGGCUUCCCUCAUGUUGGGUUAGAUCAUUACACUCUCCAGCCCUAAAUCCUAAAAUUCUUUAAAUUGCUCAGCCUGGGCUCAAGCUUUUGAUCUUUCUGCCUCAGCCUCCCAGAGAACUAGGAUGACAGGGGUGCACCACCAUGCCCUACUCUACACCCUUUAACUCUCUGGCAGUAGGUUUGUGUGUGACCAAGUGCUUUGCAUCCUUUCUCUCCCUGUUUCUGAUUCUUAGCAGCUGCGGUAAGGAACUGGGCUGCCUUUCCUAGCCAACCUCAGAGGGCUGGGCACAGUGUCCUUAAUUAACCCUGGUUGAGUUUCAGGGUCAGGCCCCAGUUUCGGUGUGUUGGAGCCCGUUGUCCUGCUGAGAAGUCCCCGCCAGCUCCGUAUCCUGUGACAGUGUCUGGGUUGGCAGAGGAGGGUCUGUGUGGUCUCAUUCAGCAGUGAAUCUGUCUGACUCCCGGGAAAGGGACUUUACCGUGGGGAUGCCUUUCACAUGGGUGAUUCUCUAAGAGCCCUGAUAGAAAGAGAUGUUGGAAAUUGUACCAUGUGUAUCUUAAACUUGAAGGGAAAUCUUUUCAAAAAAGUCAGGAAACUCUGGCAAAACAAACAAAACAAAACAAAACAAAUAUAAACAGUGAUAAAUUCUAAGACUGAAAAUGAGAGAAUGGUGAACUGAGAGGGAAAAAUGCACAACUGAGACACGGGACUCCCAGAAGGGUGCCAGGAGAAGGGGUUGGCGGCUGGCACCUUCCCAGAGCCCCUCCUGUUUCAAAAGGGUGAGGAGGGAGGAUAUAGGGGGCCCAGGAGCCCAAGGCAAGUGCCGAGGGGCAGGGUGGCUCUGGGGUGGAAGCGGGCAACAGAGCAUCAGCCCCUAAUAAAACUUCUAAGACAGAAAGGAAUUUCCAGACUGUGAUCACAGCCAGAAGAGCGAGCCACGGGCAGGGCCGGUCCUCAGGUGACAUGGCAGAAGAGGAAUGGAAGAAACAUGGAGCCCACUGUUUAUCUAUUUGUUUCUCAGUGUUGGGGAGUUGAAUCAUGGGCUUUGAGGUUACUAUACAAUGGCUCUACCGCAGAACUAUUUCCCAGUCCUUUAAAAAGCCUUUUUUCUCUCCAUUUUUUUUUUUUUUUGUCUUUUUCUUUUUUAUCGGUACCAGGGAUCAAACUCACAACCACACACUUGCAAGGCAGGCGCUUAUGCCGCUGAGCUAAAUCCCCAGCCCCUAAAAAGCUUUUUAAAAAAAAAAAUUUUUUUUUGAAAUAGGAUCUCACUAAGUUGCACAGGCUGACCUCAAACUUGUAAUGCUCCUGCCUCAGUGUCCCAAGUACCUACAGUUACAGAUGUGCUUUUAUUGAGCACUUAACUGUCACUGGUCUGUCCUGAAGACGGUCAGUUUCCUCAAACCAGCAGAGCAGGGACCGUGGACGUUCCUACAAGGGACCAAGACCAGGCCAUCAUGUUCCUACUGCUUUCCAAACAGCCUCGCAAGGCACUGAGGCCACUGCAUGGCCUGGUGGGGCCCAGGAGGGCCUGGAGGGCCGAGAAGGGGAGGCUGGGUGGGAGGGGUCUGGGCAGGCAGAUAUCGCCAUCAUGGUGGAGCGGGAGGAAGCCAGCCCUGGCCUGAGGCCUGAAAGCUAUGCCCUGCCAGUCACCCUGAGAUCACAGAAGAUAGGAAGGUGGGUCAAACUCUCAGGAAACUGGAAAUCAGUGUGUAUAAUGUUAAUCACCAGUAAAACUUGGUAAUGAAUCAUUUUGAAAAUUCAUUUAUUCAUACCUUUAGUCAACAGAUAUCUAUGCAGAGUCUUGAUGUGCAACUACCAUGCUAGGCGUAGGGAUGAAAUCUGUUUUUGUUUGUUUUCACACAGGGUCUCCCAGUGCAGUUCAGGCUGGCUUUGAACUCACUGUGUAGCCCAGGCUACACUCAAAUCCCUGGUGAUGCUCCUGCCUCAACCUCCCAAAUGUUGGGAUUAUUAGCAUGCACCAUCAUGCUCAGCUUAUAUUUUGAAACUUUAAUAAAAUGACUAUAAGGGCGGAGAAUGUAUUUCAGCUGCACAAGUGCCGGCCUGACAAGUGCAAGGUCCUGAGUUCUAUUGUGAAGGGAACAAAAGAAUAUUGUAACAUAAACUAUCCUUUUUUCCCCCAAGUUUUUCUUUCUUUUUUUUUUUUUUAAAUAUAAGCAUUCUAUUAACAACUCAGUUUAAAAUCACUCCUUUUUGCUUUGAUGGAAUUGUUAGAUCACAGAAAUGCUUUGGAUAUAAAAUGCCUUCAAUGCAUCAAAACAUUUGACUUCCUCUGAUAGCAUUAUGCAAGAGGUGAAAAAGUAGCCUAGAAAACAAUCCGAUUACAGCAAAUAGAUUUAAUAUAAACAGAACCAGACUCUGUGGAUAAAGAAACUAUGCCCAUGUGGAAAUAAGUCCCUAAAAGGGUGCCUCAGGGCACUGACAAAAUACCGCUCAACAUUUUUGUCAGUGACUUGAACAAAGACCACAAAAGUGUAUGCUCAGAGUUUCAGAUGAAACAAAGUUAAAGGGUAACUCCAAACAUGAUGAAAGGCCAGAACAGAGGUGGCAAACUCAUAGCACACGUGCCAUUUAGGCUUUAAAGCUCUAAAAGGUCUGCCAUCACUAGGCUAGGGCAACACCAAUGAAAUUGAACAGGAUUAAAUGUAAAACUCAACAACCAGAAUUCCCAGAUGCCCUAGAAUUGGGGGAGCCCUGGGAGGAAAAACAGGCUGGUUGGUUGUAAAUGAGUUACUGCUUGGAUGUCACAGUGCAAAGCAGUGCAGGAAGAUUGAAAUGACACCCAGGGUUUGGAGGUAGAUUUGUUUACGCUGAUGGACACUGAUCAGGAUCAUUCCCAGGUCAGGGCCUGAUGUCUAGUGGUCCAGGGCUUAUGUGGGAUAAGCAGGAGGAGUACACAGGCAGAAUGGAUUGGUUUGUACAGUGGUUUGUACAGUGUGCAUCACAGUGACCAGUGUGUCUAAGAGACAGAAGCGACCGGACCUGGGGCAGGAACCUGGGCAUCUAAGAAACAAGUGUACUGGCCGGGGCAGGGGCAUUUUCCUUUAUAAUAGACACCAGACAGCCAUCAUCAUGUCCUUAGUCCUCAUCAGAUGGACCCAGGGAACAGCUUUCCACCUCCAAUGGCCGGCAGCAGUGCUGGGAGGUGGGCACCAACGUAGGAGAGGACAAUGAGACCCACCUUCACAAGCAGCAGGCGGUGGAGGCCGGAGUGUCGCCUGGGGAGGUGAAGAGGUGGUCUGAAUGUGACGUGUCCCUUGGAACAUAUGCUGGACUUCAAUCACAUUCUGAGUUGUUUAAGAGAGGAGACAAUCUGGCUGCUGUGUUUCAGGGGGCGUUAAGAGGGGACUGGUCCUCCGGGUGGAGCUGCCAUAAUAGAACUCUUGUGGCUGGGUAAGAAGAGAGAGAAAGACUAGAAGAGACAUUGCUUACACCUGUGAGCUCCAUCUCUGCCAUGUGACACUCGGUGCCUCGCAGAGCUCUGUGGGUGAAGGCCACACCACAUGAGGCAUCCAGGCCUUGCACUUCCAGAACCAUGAGCUGAAUGAACCUCUUGUCUUUAUAAAGUAAUCUGCCUCCGGGAUUUUGUUACAGCAAUAAAAAUCACUCAGACUUAUAAAGAGUUUCAUCAGCUAGUUGAUCCUCAGGCAAUGGUUAAUAAAUCUAGCAAUGACCUCCCUCAGAAGAAAAGCAAGGAAAGGAAGGUUCCAGGAGACAGGCUCCACCUUGGUGCAAUGGAGGAGGAGUAAAAUGCUGAUUACUGAGGGCCCCUGGCUACCAGGUUCUCAGAGAAAUACUUCAUCUCCAGCCAAGGCAUAUGACUGCUUUGUCACACUGACCAGACAAUACAGAAACACUAGGCUGGCCGUGUGGGAAUCAGGGUGGGAGGGAGGCCCCAGAGAAGACCCCAGCAGCCGCAGAAGCCCUUCCUUCUGAGCUGGAUGUCUUUGAGGAGAAAGGGGCAGCAACUCAGACCAUGCUGCCAUGCCUGACAGGGGCAGCUGUCAGGGGUGUAUGCUGGUCUCCAGAGCCCUAACCCCGAGGCUCAGGUAUAGAAAAGGAACUGGAAGGACAGGGGGAGGAGCAGAGAGAGACCCAUGGGAGACAGGAAGUGGGAAGUGCAGGGGAGACCAGGGGCCAAGAGCAGGGCACAGUGGCAGCU
Cavia porcellus (domestic guinea pig) is the source of this 8652-nucleotide RNA transcript. RefSeq lists it as uncharacterized. The transcript is spliced from 4 exons. The record is from RefSeq and is a predicted model, not a curated record. Lineage: Eukaryota; Metazoa; Chordata; Mammalia; Rodentia; Caviidae.